UACGGAGGGUGCAAGCGUUAUCCGGAUUCACUGGGUUUAAAGGGUGCGUAGGCGGGCAGGUAAGUCCGUGGUGAAAUCUCUGAGCUUAACUCAGAAACUGCCAUGGAUACUAUUUGUCUUGAAUAUUGUGGAGGUAAGCGGAAUAUGUCAUGUAGCGGUGAAAUGCUUAGAUAUGACAUAGAACACCAAUUGCGAAGGCAGCUUACUACACAGUAAUUGACGCUGAGGCACGAAAGCGUGGGUAGCAAACAGG
Molecule: ribosomal RNA, 253 nt
Filed under: uncultured bacterium
Lineage: Bacteria
Description: partial 16S ribosomal RNA
Rfam family: Bacterial small subunit ribosomal RNA
Source: RNAcentral